RNAcentral lists this non-coding RNA (134 nucleotides) under Eremothecium gossypii ATCC 10895. Lineage: Eukaryota; Fungi; Ascomycota; Saccharomycetes; Saccharomycetales; Saccharomycetaceae. The record is from RNAcentral.
AGGGCGUCUUCGAAGAUCCCCAGGCCUGCUCUUCCGUGGCCUGGAGAUUCAAAGCGACGCCCAGAACAAGCCCGCAGUCUGUCCGCCAGCGCCCGGCCCACGGGCGGGCCUGCGUAUCUGGUCGGCGUACGUUU